Molecule: long non-coding RNA, 241 nt
Filed under: Mytilus galloprovincialis (Mediterranean mussel)
Lineage: Eukaryota; Metazoa; Mollusca; Bivalvia; Mytilida; Mytilidae
Source: RNAcentral
AGAUGUGGUAUGAUUGCCAUGUUGAGACAACUCUCCACAAGAGACCAAAAUGACACAGAGAUUAACAACUAUAGGUCACCGUACGGCCUUCAAAAACGAGCAAGGCCCAUACCACAUACUCAGCUUUAAAAGUCCCCGAAAUGACAAUGUAAAACAAUUCAAACGAGAAAAUUAGCGGCCUUAUUUAUGUAAAAAAAAUGAACGAAAAACAAAUAUGUAACACAUAAAGAAACAACAACCA